AUCCUUUUGUGGUUCAUAAUCAUAAUGAUUGGUUUUUCACACUAUUGUGUGAGAUGUACCGCUCUCAAAUCUUGUUAAAAAUUGUUGGCACAUUACCCAUCUGCUG
Small nucleolar RNA from Cynocephalus volans (Philippine flying lemur), 106 nucleotides. RefSeq annotates it as small nucleolar RNA U13. The transcript has a single exon. The record is from RefSeq and is a predicted model, not a curated record. Lineage: Eukaryota; Metazoa; Chordata; Mammalia; Dermoptera; Cynocephalidae.